Molecule: long non-coding RNA, 2131 nt
Filed under: Fragaria vesca (wild strawberry)
Lineage: Eukaryota; Viridiplantae; Streptophyta; Magnoliopsida; Rosales; Rosaceae
Description: long non-coding RNA (FVES_LNC002550)
Source: RNAcentral
AGGCUGUUUCCUGGGCGAACGCUCAGAACCGGCAACGCAACACAAGGAACCAUCUUGCCGAUUCUAGACCGUUCGCUGUCUUCAUGGACGAGGCGGCCAGGGAACAUCCAGAAUUCAACCAGUACGUCUCUACGUACAAGAAGGCAUAUCCUGACUCUCAGGAGGAUAUUAUAAGUAAUCUUACGUUUUAAAAUUUUUAAUUUUACUUAUAUAUAUGUCAAAAUGUUAAUUAACCAUUUUUUCCUAUCCAAUUAGGUGAAGGUGAGGGAGGCUAGUGACGAGAUGAUGAGUACUAUAGUGAGGGAGACAUGGCCGGACACGCAGGAGGAAGAGAUGUCCGAAGCCAUGUCCCGGAUCGACAUUUCGGAUCUGAGGGUUGGGGCGAGGAUCAUGGGCACAGCUUUCCCACCGUGAGCAAACAACUUCUACUGCCGGGGUCUAGGAAAGAAGGGCGAGGGGGUCCUGAAGACCACUCCAGGAUUUCAACGAAAGACAGCCUCGACCAGCAGGAGGACCUUGACCACCAGCAAGACGACUCAGCUAGAGUCGGAAGUUCAGAGACUACGGGAACAGCAAGCUGCUUAGGCUGCUUAUAAUGCCACGCAGACAGCCUAUACUGCCGAGGUAUAUGCCAUCCAGCAAGCCCAGCAGCGGUAGAUGCUCCAAUACAUGUAGGAGUUUAUAGCUGCCCAGCUUCAGGGACUUCCGACUCCGCCCAUGCCUACGCUUAUACCGCUACCUCAGCCACCGCAACCUCCGCAGCAGCCCCCAGAAACGGAUAUUAAUUUAGACGAUCUAGAUUUUGUGUAGUUGAUACAUUAUAUAGUUUUAUGUGUUUAUUGUUGGUUAUAUGGAAUUGUUUUGGUGUAUUUUGCAACUUGCUUGGAAUGGUAAUUUAGAAAUUUUGGUUUUUUUUUUUUUACUGGAAUGGACUUGUAGCCGACGAAACAUGUAAAAUAUUCGUCGGCUAUAGUAUUUUUAAUUUUUUUAAUAAGGUUUGGCCGACGAAUUACGGCCCGUUUCGUCGACUAAACCCUCUAAAACCGACGAAACAGACUAUAUUUCGUCGGCUUUAGUUAUUUUUUUAAUUUUUUAUUACACACUUUAGCCAACGACUAUCUAAUUUCUUCGUCGGCUAAAGUCUGGGAAAAAGAGCCGACGACUAUCUAAUUUCUUCGUCGGCUAAAGUCUGGGAAAAAAGCCGACGACUACAUGAUUUUUUCGUCGGCUAAAGUCUGGGAAAAAAGCCGACGACUUGUUUUUCGUCGGCUAAACUCUAGAACUAUAGCCGACGACGUCAUUUUGAUUCGUCGGCUAAAGUCAUCGCCGAUGACCUUUUCCCAACGAAAUCUUAACCGACGAAUUAAGCUAACAGGCCGACGAAACUUUUUCGUCGACUAAAGUGCUUGUCCUAGUAGUGUAAGCCCCAAACUUGUUGUAGGAACUCAAGGCCCAUUCGGCCCAAGUAGACAGAUAUCAAAGUAUAUUCUCUAAAAGCGAUAAGUAAAGUGCAUAUAAAGAACAGAACAAGAAAAAUAGAUUUCUUCAGAUUUUAGAAAUUUUAAAAGUUAUAAAAUUACUAUGAUUUCGAAACUUCAAAAAAUUACAACACAUAAUCAUAUAGUCUUUCGAAAUGCUACUUUUCAGCCUAAUCAAGUUUACCAAAGAGCUAUUUCUGCUACUAAAUCUGACAAGCAUGCUAAUAUUGUUACUAACAGUAAUGUUUUCUCAAAGCCAACGUACAUCACCUGGUUACCUCUGGAGAAUGCGUAGUUAAAACUAAAUUUUGAUGGUUCUAUGAGGCAAGGAAAAACAACCAUGAGAUGUGUGAUUCGUGAUACCAAUGGAAACCCUAUCAUCUCAGCAUGUCAAGCCAUUGGAGAAGUCGGUGUCUUGGUAGCAGAAGUUAUGGCUUUUCGAGAAGGUUUAAAGACCUAUUUUUUGAUUACAUCUUGACAUCUUAUCCGUUCAGUUUUUAAGUCUAUAUGUGUAGAUCAACCCUACAAAUUUUUAGCCAAAUUAGCGAUCGUUAAAGUAAUAAACUAGAUCAAAUUAAUAGACGAACCAAAUCUGUCAAACAUGAACCGUUCAAAUUUAUAAUUAGUAAAUCACACUUAUAAAUGUCUUAACG